UCAAGUGAAUAAGUGCAUCAGGUGGAUGCCUUGGCGAUGAUAGGCGACGAAGGACGUGUAAGCCUGCGAAAAGCGUGGGGGAGCUGGCAAUAAAGCUAUGAUCCCGCGAUGUCCGAAUGGGGAAACCCACUGCAUUCUGUGCAGUAUCCUAAGUUGAAUACAUAGACUUAGAGAAGCGAACCCGGAGAACUGAACCAUCUAAGUACCCGGAGGAAAAGAAAUCAACCGAGAUUCCGCAAGUAGUGGCGAGCGAACGCGGAGGAGCCUGUACGUAAUAACUGUCGAGAUAGAAGAACAAGCUGGGAAGCUUGACCAUAGUGGGUGAUAGUCCCGUAUUCGAAAUCUCAACGGUGGUACUAAGCGUACGAAAAGUAGGGCGGGACACGUGAAAUCCUGUCUGAAUAUGGGGGGACCAUCCUCCAAGGCUAAAUACUCAUCAUCGACCGAUAGUGAACCAGUACCGUGAGGGAAAGGCGAAAAGAACCCCGGGAGGGGAGUGAAAUAGAACCUGAAACCUGAUGCAUACAAACAGUGGGAGCACCCAUGUGGUGUGACUGCGUACCUUUUGUAUAAUGGGUCAACGACUUACAUUCAGUAGCGAGCUUAACCGAAUAGGGGAGGCGUAGGGAAACCGAGUCUUAAUAGGGCGAACAGUUGCUGGGUGUAGACCCGAAACCGAGUGAUCUAUCCAUGGCCAGGUUGAAGGUGCCGUAACAGGUACUGGAGGACCGAACCCACGCAUGUUGCAAAAUGCGGGGAUGAGCUGUGGAUAGGGGUGAAAGGCUAAACAAACUCGGAGAUAGCUGGUUCUCCCCGAAAACUAUUUAGGUAGUGCCUCGAGCAAGACACUGAUGGGGGUAAAGCACUGUUAUGGCUAGGGGGUUAUUGCAACUUACCAACCCAUGGCAAACUAAGAAUACCAUCAAGUGGUUCCUCGGGAGACAGACAGCGGGUGCUAACGUCCGUUGUCAAGAGGGAAACAACCCAGACCGCCAGCUAAGGUCCCAAAUGAUAGAUUAAGUGGUAAACGAAGUGGGAAGGCCCAGACAGCCAGGAUGUUGGCUUAGAAGCAGCCAUCAUUUAAAGAAAGCGUAAUAGCUCACUGGUCGAGUCGUCCUGCGCGGAAGAUGUAACGGGGCUCAAAUCUAUAACCGAAGCUGCGGAUGCCAGUUUACUGGCAUGGUAGGGGAGCGUUCUGUAGGCCGAUGAAGGUGCAUUGUAAAGUGUGCUGGAGGUAUCAGAAGUGCGAAUGUUGACAUGAGUAGCGAUAAAGCGGGUGAAAAGCCCGCUCGCCGAAAGCCCAAGGUUUCCUACGCAACGUUCAUCGGCGUAGGGUGAGUCGGCCCCUAAGGCGAGGCAGAAAUGCGUAGUCGAUGGGAAACAGGUUAAUAUUCCUGUACUUGAUUCAAAUGCGAUGUGGGGACGGAGAAGGUUAGGUUAGCAAGCUGUUGGAAUAGCUUGUUUAAGCCGGUAGGUGGAAGACUUAGGCAAAUCCGGGUCUUCUUAACACCGAGAAGUGACGACGAGUGUCUACGGACAUGAAGUAACCGAUACCACGCUUCCAGGAAAAGCCACUAAGCUUCAGUUUGAAUCGAACCGUACCGCAAACCGACACAGGUGGGCAGGAUGAGAAUUCUAAGGCGCUUGAGAGAACUCGGGAGAAGGAACUCGGCAAAUUGAUACCGUAACUUCGGGAGAAGGUAUGCCCUCUAAGGUUAAGGACUUGCUCCGUAAGCCCUGGAGGGUCGCAGAGAAUAGGUGGCUGCGACUGUUUAUUAAAAACACAGCACUCUGCUAACACGAAAGUGGACGUAUAGGGUGUGACGCCUGCCCGGUGCUGGAAGGUUAAUUGAAGAUGUGAGAGCAUCGGAUCGAAGCCCCAGUAAACGGCGGCCGUAACUAUAACGGUCCUAAGGUAGCGAAAUUCCUUGUCGGGUAAGUU
Molecule: ribosomal RNA, 1942 nt
Filed under: Rothia mucilaginosa
Lineage: Bacteria; Bacillati; Actinomycetota; Actinomycetes; Micrococcales; Micrococcaceae
Description: bacterial LSU rRNA
Rfam family: Bacterial large subunit ribosomal RNA
Source: RNAcentral